RNAcentral lists this transfer-messenger RNA (389 nucleotides) under Candidatus Omnitrophota. Its description in RNAcentral is "JACQRE01 sp016206585 Standard tmRNA". It matches the Rfam family "transfer-messenger RNA". Rfam says of the family: Bacterial tmRNA, also known as 10Sa RNA or SsrA, is named for its dual tRNA and mRNA-like properties. The record is from RNAcentral. RNAcentral also lists the same sequence under 1 other name. Lineage: Bacteria; Pseudomonadati.
GGGGGCGAUGAGAUUCGAUUCGGACCGUUGCGUUGCGGGGGGCAUGCCGAGGUGGUCAGGAGGCCUCGUAAAACACCUGACAUCAUUCAAGUGCCAACUACAACGCGGUAGCAGAGGCAGAAGCAAUUCUCGCCUCUGAGGCACUCCAAGUCGCUGCCUAAUUAAAUAGGCCGCGCCGCCAGCCGGAUCAGCCUGCGGGCCGGUUGGCGUGUUUGAGCAGGCUGGUCCCGCCGAUGCCGCUAUCGGCGGGAUGAGACCAUCAGCGGCUCAGUCCUGUUGCGCCGGCUCCGCGGGCGGGGCAGGAUGAAGCGUUCGAUGCGGGGCUACGCAUGUAGAGGGCCCACGACCUCGAUCCGAAGACGCGGGUGCGACUCCCGCCGCCUCCACUU